AUGGAAUGUAUCGAUGCCCUGUUCCCUGUGGGCCCCGUGCCCCCCAGCCCCAGGUGGACGUUCAGAUGCUACGGCUGCUACAGGAGCAAACCCCAGGUGUGGUCGGCCCCCAGCGACCCCCUGGAGCUCCUGCUCUCAGGUGUGUCUGGGAAGCCCUCCCUCCUCACCCCGCAGGGCCCUGUUGUGACUUCUGGACAGAACCUGACCCUCCAGUGUCGCUCUGAUAUCAGCUAUGACAGAUUCACUCUGUCCAAGGAUGGGGGACAGGACCUCCCCCAGCACCCUGGCCGGCAGCCCCAGGCUGGGCUCUCUCAAGCCGACUUCCCCCUGGGCUGGGUGAGCGGCCUCCAUGGGGGCCGGUACAGAUGCUACGGGGGACACAACCUCUCCUCCGAGUGGUCGGCCCCCAGCGACCCCCUGGACAUCCUGGUGGCAGGACAGCUCCCUGACACACCCUCCUUCUCGGCGCAGCCGGGCCCCAUGGCGGCCUCAGGAGAGAACGUGACCCUGCUGUGUCAGUCAUGGAGUCCGAUGGACACCUUUCUUCUGUCCAAGGAGGGGGCAGCCCGUCCCCCACUGCGUCUUAGAUCAAAGUACAGAGGUCAGCAGUACCAGGCCGAAUUCCCCCUGAGUUCUGUGACCUCAGCCCACGGGGGGACCUACAGGUGCUACAGCUCACUCAGCAGUGACCCCUACCUGCUGUCACAGCCCAGUGACCCCCUGGAGCUCCUGGUCUCAGGGCUGUUCACAAAACCCUCCAUCUCGGCCCACCCAGGUUCCAUUGUGCAUGUGUGAGGGGCUGUGACCCUGCGCUGUCAAUUGCUGUUUGACAAAUUUAUCCUGCACAAAAAGAGCGGCAGGCCGCAUUCCCAGCAAUAUGGAGAGAAGCUUCCUAGUGGGCCUGGUGGGCCUACCCACGCUCAUUUUUUCAUGGGCCCCAUGACCGCCGUGCAUGCAGGGACCUACAGCUGCUAUGGCUCUCCCAGUCACUCUAUGAGUGGUCGGCCCCAGUGACCCCGUGGACAUCGUGAUCACAGGAAUACACGAGGAACCAGCUCUCUCAGCCGAGCUGGGCCCCAUGAUGAGGUUAGGAGAGAAUGUGACCUUGUUCUGCCGCUCUGAGAGCUCCUUUGAUGUGUACCACCUGUCCAGGGAAGGGGAAGCCUGAGGAUGCUGGCUUGCUGGAGGGAACAGUCACACUGGUGCAUUCCAGUCUGACUUUCCUCUGGGUCCUGCGACCCCAGCCCACUGUGGGGUCUAUAGGUGCUCUUUCAAUCACUCCCCAUACAGAUGGUCAGACCCGAGUGACCCAAUGUACCUUUCAGUCACAGGAUCCGUUACUAGUACUUGUCCAUCACACACAGACCCAAGCACCAUAAAAGCCUUCAUCCCUGCUAGCAUCUCCUCGCUGCUCUUGUUUGUUACUGGGGUUCUAUCAGAAAUCGUCUAA
Vicugna pacos (alpaca) is the source of this 1450-nucleotide non-coding RNA. The record is from RefSeq and is a predicted model, not a curated record. Lineage: Eukaryota; Metazoa; Chordata; Mammalia; Artiodactyla; Camelidae.